UUUCCGUAGGUGAACCUGCGGAAGGAUCACUAGUGAUUAAAUCGAGAGCGUCUUCAUUGACCUCUCACCCUUCACAUCCACAUACACCUGUGCACCGUUUGGCUCUUUUAAAAGACGCAAGUCUGCAAAGAGAGUCAUCAAUUUUAUACAUACCCCAGUCUUAUGAAUGUAACAGUUUUAAUAAACAUAAUAAAACUUUUAACAACGGAUCUCUUGGUUCUCGCAUCGAUGAAGAACGCAGCGAAAUGCGAUAAGUAAUGUGAAUUGCAGAAUUCAGUGAAUCAUCGAAUCUUUGAACGCACCUUGCGCUCCUUGGUAUUCCGAGGAGCAUGCCUGUUUGAGUGUCAUGAAACUCUCAACCUUCAACUUUUUUAUUAAGGCUGAAGGCUUGGACUUGAGCGCUGCUGGUUUUUACUAACCGGCUCGCUUGAAAUGAAUUAGCAGAUCCUUUUUGUAAUCGGUUCCACUCGACGUGAUAAGUAUUUCGCCGAGGACAUACGAAAGUAUGGCCGAGAUAAGGAAAGUCUUUAGAUCCGCUUCUAAUUCUUAGAUCAAGCUUGCUUGACUAAACCCCAUUUUAUGAUCUGSCCUCAAAUCAGGUAGGACUACCCGCCUGAACUUAASSCAUAU
RNAcentral lists this ribosomal RNA (630 nucleotides) under uncultured fungus. RNAcentral describes it as "eukaryotic LSU rRNA". The stretch from base 194 to 347 matches the Rfam family "5.8S ribosomal RNA". The record is from RNAcentral. Lineage: Eukaryota; Fungi.